GAUGAACGCUGGCGGCGUGCCUAAUACAUGCAAGUCGAGCGAACGGACGAGAAGCUUGCUUUUCUGAUGUUAGCGGCGGACGGGUGAGUAACACGUGGAUAACCUACCUAUAAGACUGGGAUAACUUCGGGAAACCGGAGCUAAUACCGGAUAAUAUUUUGAACCGCAUGGUUCAUAAGUGAAAGACGGUCUUGCUGUCACUUAUAGAUGGAUCCGCGCUGCAUUAGCUAGUUGGUAAGGUAACGGCUUACCAAGGCAACGAUGCAUAGCCGACCUGAGAGGGUGAUCGGCCACACAGGAACUGAGACACGGUCCAGACUCCUACGGGAGGCAGCAGUAGGGAAUCUUCCGCAAUGGGCGAAAGCCUGACGGAGCAACGCCGCGUGAGUGAUGAAGGUCUUCGGAUCGUAAAACUCUGUUAUUAGGGAAGAACAUAUGUGUAAGUAACUGUGCACAUCUUGACGGUACCUAAUCAGAAAGCCACGGCUAACUACGUG
This 497-nucleotide ribosomal RNA is filed under the name uncultured bacterium. RNAcentral's name for it is "partial 16S ribosomal RNA". It matches the Rfam family "Bacterial small subunit ribosomal RNA", at positions 28 to 507 of the family's 1533-position model. The record is from RNAcentral.